Molecule: long non-coding RNA, 3951 nt
Organism: Anguilla anguilla (European eel)
Lineage: Eukaryota; Metazoa; Chordata; Actinopteri; Anguilliformes; Anguillidae
Exons: 3
Source: RefSeq, a predicted model, not a curated record
CAAUGUAAAUAUUACUCUUUUGCAAGGUUUUUUUUUUUGUGUGGCCGGGGUGUUGUAGUUUGCCGAUUAAAUGUCACGUGGCACGAUUGUAAUGCCCAGCGGAGCCUCAGAACCCUUGGUGUGUGAAAAAUCCUGUUGGAACCAUUGUGCCGGGGCUGUGUAGCGUAGCCUUCGCCGCCGGAACAAUGCCGGACAGGAAGCUGCCGUCUCCCACGCUCGGCGGCCAGCUCCGUGCCUCUAAUGUAAAUGGGGGGAAACGUGCCGAAGGAAAAGAAAGGUGGUCUGUCGUUCUCGUCUCUCCUCUCCCCUCGGUCACACUGGGCUGGCUCUUUCCCGGCAACGGCGGUGUCUCGCGGUUCCGGGCACAACGUUAGCGGGUUUUUUGGCGGCGCGGUGACGUUUCAUUUUUCGCCGUUAAUUUUGCCGUUUCUUUUUCUUUUUCUGCCCGUUAAGCUGGAAUUUGUAAAGUGAGUGAGUUCUAACCCGGAUCCUGGGGAUUUGUCGGUACUUUUUUGUCUGCACUGCCUGCGAGAGGAGAGAGAGGAGAUGGUGAGUUUGUUCACCUCCCCUAACCAAGGGCAAAGUUAAAGAGCGCCAUGUCAGACAAAUGUUCAAAAAAACCCUGGCCAUUUUUUCAGUCACUCUGGGCUCUCGGUCAUACGGGGCUCGGUGCCCUCGAUCAAAGCCCCUCCCCCCUGCCCGUCAGGCUGCUCGUAGGGCCCCGCUGACCCACCGUGUGUUUGGCAGGCCGUCGUGCGGAGGAAGAAGCAUCGGCUCGUUCAGCCGUCCUCCGGGGGGAGGGUUCGCCAGUGCUGGCGUUGGUAGCAAAGAGCUGGCGGCUGUGCAUGGCCCUCCCCCCCUCCCACGCCGUUUUUAUAACCCACUUUCAGACCUGUGAGGCCGCGUGACACCUCCGCGGACCGGACGGCCUCUUCGCCAGCCCUCUGCGAACUCUGACCUCAUGCGACGGGCCGUGGCACUCUGGAAAGGAAACAGCGGACACAGAGAACAAGGAAGAAUGAGAGAGAGGUGGCUGAACCAGAGCCACGUCAGGAAUGGCUGGGGUCACAGUGGCGCUCCGCUGCCCUGAGGGGCUAGUUGCCUCCCGCCUGUCGUUUGGACGAAGGCCUCUCCCACGGAUGGCGCGGCUCUUUGUCUUCCACAGAACGCCGUGCGUUUCGCAGCCGAAGUUCACGUGCGUCAGCGAGGCUGUCGUGCCGCGGUGCAGCAGGGGCCAGACGGGGCCGAGCCGCGGGCUCCGGGCGAGCAGCUGCUACUGCAACGACAGCGCCGAGCUCGCUUUGGGCUUCUGCGGAAAUGCUUCAGACGCUCUUCGGAUCCGACCGAGGCGCAGUAAAUUCGUUAAACUGUGUAGCGCUUGUAGCGAGUUGCCUAGUCUCUUACUGGGGGUUAGUCUGUCUGAAGGCAAAGUGAGCUGCUCUUUAGCUCAGUAAGCUGAUCGCAGCUGUUGUUGUGCAGGUUCGUGGAUCAUGGGUCUAAACUGACAGCAGAUCUACCCCCGAUACUCAGCUUGUACACAGUCAGGGGUUCUGUGUAAAAUCUAAUCAAAGUACCUUCAUCUCUAAUGGUGUGCAUUUGGCCGCUGUUUUUAUCUAAUAUAUGAAUUCAUAUUUUCUAUAAUUUUGAUUGAAUUAAAAAAUGAGAAAUGUAUUCCCUUUUUCCUCUCACCAAAGGAUAGUCUGAAGUAGGGGCAGUGUUUUCUGUAUGUGUAUUUAUGUUAUCAGUAGCAUCACAGUGGGGGAAUAGGGGAAUUGCCCAGGGUCCAGGCAGGAAGGGGGCCCCUCUAAAAGCCUGGACUAAAAAGGGGAAGGGGUCCACAGAGUGCGCAUUUGCACAGGGCCCAGAAUUUUGAACUACACCCGUGUAUGUUAUCUUUAUGUACUUUGAGAAAAAUACAUUUAAUAUUUAAUAAUCCCAAUUGGAGAAGGACAGUGUGCUUGAUAAUACUGCUAUUAUCUGAGAAAGUAGAGUGUGUGUUUAAAAAAAAUAAUAAUUAUUAUACGUAGAGUGUGAUCAUAUGUGCUGAUUUGACAUCAACAUUGGAGGGACAAGAAUACAAACUGUUGGUAUACAUUUGGAAUGUUACAUUUUUUUUACAGUUACAAGCUUAUAGCGACAUGGAUGACAGAUUGUAUUAUUUGAUCUUAAACAGGUCCACAUUAAGUAAUAUUUGCACAUAAGUACAUGUUCCACUGAACAUUGCCCCAGUAUGAUUACUGAAGAUUCAUCACCCUUUUUCCCCCUUACUUGGCACCAAUAACUGUGAUCCUUAUAUGCACUGAAAAUAUAUUGAUGAAGUACUAUUGCAACUGAUGUGAGAAAAUGAUAAUGAUGAAUGUCAUAUUUCAUAGGUAUUCAUUUCUUUUUCAGCAAUGUAUUCUCUGAAACCCAUGAAAAUAACUCCCACUAAUUAUUCAAAUUAAAUUCAAUUUGUGCCACAUUAAAAUUAAAUUAGGACCUAUGAAAAUGAUAUGGGCAGGCAAAAAACGAAACUGUAAAUCAGCUGCGUUUUCUUUGUGUUCAUGUUGCGGGUCAACAAGGUAUGCUGUGUAGCGGCUGUUCUGUUGACGUUUACGGUGUUCUGACUGGCAUAUAUGUGAUAGCACUGUGAUGUCCUUAUGAAUGUAUAGUGUGUUUAUGAAUUUUUACUGCUCUGCGACACUAUAAAUCAAAAGCAUAUAAUGUUACACUAUAAAUGUGUAUGCUUAUGAAUUUGUUAUAUAAUUUAUGAAUGUAUAGUGCUAUGUGACAUGUUUAUGCAUUUCUAGUGUGAAAUGUUUAUGAAUUCAUAGUACUCUGUGAUUCAGUGCUCUGUGAUAUGUUCAUGAGACUACAGUGUUCUAUAAUAAGUUCAUAAAUUUAUAUUACUCAGUGAUAUGUUUAUGAAUUUAAAGUGUGUUACAAUGUUCAUGAAACCAUAGCACUCUGAUUUGGUGCUCUGUGAUGUUUACCAUCCUAUAAUGUUCUGUAAUAUGUUUAUAAAUUUGUAGUACCCCGCAAUGUUUAUGAAUUCAUAGUGCUCUGUGAUUUGCAUCAUUAAGUAGAAGGAAAUUAGUGGACAGUAUAGUCACCCACACUUUUCUAAGGAGAGGAGUGAAUACCCAUUUUAAGGAAUGGCCCAUUUUCUGACGGGGCCUUGGUGGGCAGGGACCUCCCUCACUGGGACCAAAUGGAAACCUGGACCACAAAAACAAAGAGUUAAAUGAAUAACCUUUGGUCAAUGUUUCACUGGAAACCUCCACUAUCCAACUGGGAGAGCGCACACUUUUUUAACUGUAGCUCUCCAAUGCACGCCAAUCACCUGUAUAUACACAUUCUAUUAUUAACACCCAUCCUCAAAUAAAUGCAAUAAAUACAUAAUAAAUCACAUGCAAUUCACAAAUAAACAUCAGAGAUUAUAUAUAAAAAAGAUUUAAUCUUUCCCCCCCCCCCCACAAAAUCAGUUGACACACAUGUGCAUAUAUUGUCAUAAUCUCAUAUCAUAGUAUCAUAUGUACUUAAUAUGGAUAUUGUUCCUUCACUCCCCAGUAGCCCAACUCACAUGCCUUUACAGUCAUCUGCCAGAGAUCGAACGCAUGCUGAUGAUAGACUGGCAGUGCUUUUGAUCCACACUGUGGUUGAACCACAAAUAUACAGCCAUGGAUUCUCAGAGCCCCGGAGAAACGAACAUACAUUUCUAUAGGAUCAUGAACAAAUAACCUUCAUUUACAAGCUUAUAAAAUACAGUAAUGAAUUAUGUACAUAAUUGGAAACAGAAAACAUAAAGGAGGAUCAACAGAAAACAAAGAGAUCAAAAACAGAUGCUUCUUUCUCUUCAUGUAUCCUUGACAUACAUUAUGGGUACGGCUUCCUUCCAGUGUUUCAUUAACAACUCUCACAUUGCUUUGCUUGCAAACACAUCACGUACAUUAUUUGUAAAAAAAAAAAAAA